Molecule: RNA transcript, 8110 nt
Organism: Gorilla gorilla gorilla (western lowland gorilla)
Lineage: Eukaryota; Metazoa; Chordata; Mammalia; Primates; Hominidae
Gene: TBC1D30
Gene name: TBC1 domain family member 30
Exons: 16
Source: RefSeq, a predicted model, not a curated record
UGCCGGGAUUGGGGGCGGGCACGCCGCCUCCGUCUCCCACGCGCUCGCUCGCUCGCUCCCGCCCUCCCCGCCUCGAGCGAUCUCCUGCCUCAGCCUUGCAGGCUCCGCACUGCAGAUGCCUGCUGGCUUCCCUGCGUUCGGCGGCUCCCGCAGUGCCCCGCAAGUCCCCGUGACCCUACAGCACCGGCCGGCUGUGCGCUCCCUGCUCCCAGGGGCCGGUCAGCCGCAGACACUCACCCAGCUCCGCGAGCUCAGCCGCUCAGCCAGUGGGGUAGCGGGGACCGAGACGGACGGUGGCCGUGCCAGAGCCCGGGGCGCUCUCGGAUGCGGCAGGACAAGCUGACCGGGUCUCUGAGGCGCGGGGGGAGAUGCCUGAAGCGGCAGGGCGGCGGCGUGGGCACCAUCCUGAGCAAUGUGCUCAAGAAGCGCAGCUGCAUUUCCCGGACCGCGCCCCGGCUGCUGUGCACCCUGGAGCCGGGAGUUGAUACCAAGUUGAAAUUCACUCUUGAGCCAUCUUUAGGUCAAAAUGGUUUUCAGCAGUGGUACGAUGCUCUCAAGGCAGUUGCCAGGCUAUCCACAGGAAUACCAAAGGAAUGGAGGAGAAAGGUUUGGUUGACCUUGGCAGAUCAUUAUUUGCACAGUAUAGCCAUUGACUGGGACAAAACCAUGCGCUUCACUUUCAAUGAAAGGAGUAAUCCUGAUGAUGACUCCAUGGGAAUUCAGAUAGUCAAGGACCUUCACCGCACAGGCUGUAGUUCUUACUGUGGCCAGGAGGCUGAGCAGGACAGGGUUGUGUUGAAGCGGGUGCUGCUGGCCUAUGCCCGAUGGAACAAAACUGUUGGGUACUGCCAAGGCUUUAACAUCCUGGCUGCACUAAUUCUGGAAGUGAUGGAAGGCAAUGAAGGGGAUGCCCUGAAAAUUAUGAUUUAUCUUAUUGAUAAGGUACUUCCCGAAAGCUAUUUUGUCAAUAAUCUCCGGGCAUUGUCUGUGGAUAUGGCUGUCUUCAGAGACCUUUUAAGAAUGAAGCUGCCGGAAUUAUCUCAGCACCUGGAUACUCUUCAGAGAACUGCAAACAAAGAAAGUGGAGGUGGAUAUGAGCCCCCACUUACAAAUGUCUUCACGAUGCAGUGGUUUCUGACUCUCUUUGCCACAUGCCUCCCCAAUCAGACCGUUUUAAAGAUCUGGGAUUCAGUCUUCUUUGAAGGUUCAGAAAUCAUCCUAAGGGUGUCGCUGGCUAUCUGGGCAAAAUUAGGAGAGCAGAUAGAAUGUUGUGAAACAGCAGAUGAAUUCUACAGCACUAUGGGGCGCCUUACCCAGGAGAUGCUAGAGAAUGAUCUUCUGCAAAGCCAUGAACUCAUGCAGACUGUUUAUUCCAUGGCUCCGUUCCCUUUCCCACAAUUGGCAGAGUUGAGGGAAAAAUACACCUACAACAUUACACCGUUCCCAGCCACAGUUAAACCCACCUCAGUUUCUGGACGACAUAGUAAGGCCAGAGACAGUGAUGAAGAGAAUGACCCAGACGAUGAGGAUGCUGUCGUUAAUGCAGUGGGGUGUCUUGGACCUUUUAGUGGGUUCCUGGCUCCUGAACUGCAGAAGUACCAAAAACAAAUUAAAGAGCCAAAUGAGGAGCAGAGUCUGAGAUCUAAUAACAUUGCAGAGCUGAGUCCAGGAGCAAUCAAUUCCUGUCGAAGUGAAUACCAUGCAGCUUUUAACAGUAUGAUGAUGGAACGCAUGACCACAGAUAUCAAUGCACUGAAGCGGCAGUACUCUCGAAUUAAAAAGAAGCAACAGCAGCAGGUUCAUCAGGUGUACAUCAGGGCAGACAAAGGGCCAGUGACCAGCAUUCUCCCAUCUCAGGUAAACAGUUCUCCAGUUAUAAACCACCUUCUUUUAGGAAAGAAGAUGAAAAUGACUAACAGAGCUGCCAAGAAUGCUGUCAUCCACAUCCCUGGUCACACAGGAGGGAAAAUAUCUCCUGUCCCCUACGAAGACCUUAAGACGAAGCUCAACUCCCCGUGGCGAACACACAUCCGAGUCCACAAAAAGAACAUGCCAAGGACCAAGAGUCAUCCGAGCUGUGGGGACACCAUAGGGCUGAUAGAUGAGCAGAACGAGGCCAGCAAGACCAAUGGGCUGGGGGCAGCAGAGGCGUUCCCCUCUGGUUGUACAGCGACAGCUGGGAGAGAAGGCAGCAGCCCUGAAGGCAGUACCGGGAGGAUGAUCGAGGGGCAAUCUCCAGAGCCGGUGUUCGGAGAUGCUGAUGUGGAUGUGUCUGCGGUUCAGGUGAAGUUGGGAGCCCUGGAACUGAACCAGAGGGAUGCUGCCGCUGAAACUGAGCUCAGGGUGCACCCACCCUGCCAGCGGCACUGCCCAGAGCCGCCAAGUGCACCCGAAGAAAACAAAGCCACCAGCAAAGCUCCCCAAGGCAGCAACUCAAAAACCCCCAUCUUUAGCCCUUUUCCCAGCGUCAAGCCCCUGCGGAAAUCUGCUACUGCCAGGAACUUGGGAUUAUAUGGCCCUACAGAAAGAACCCCAACCGUGCACUUUCCUCAAAUGAGUAGGAGCUUCAGCAAACCCGGCGGUGGAAACAGUGGCACUAAAAAACGAUGAUGUCUCCCCGAAACUUUGUAUCUGGACUCACCUUUUCACAGUAGUAUAAGGGUUGCAGCUGAAUGGCUCUAAAAGAGUUUUAUUUGUCCAGUGAAAAUGAAUAGGUUCAGGGAUGAGCAACAGCCCAUAAAAAAUGGGAACUGGAAGUUUUAUAAUAGGAGUUAGAACAGGGCUGUUUUCCCAGCUACUUGCUAACUGACGAAGUGGAUUCUUGUGGCAAAAUAAAUAUUGUGGUUUUAUAGUGUGAAGUUUUCCCAAUUUUUUUAUUGUGAGCUGUUUAAAAAAGACUGUAUAACUAGAUUGUUAACUCUCGUCCAUCCUUCUGUUCUGGGGGCCUUCAGAGUCCCUGUGACAGCACCCCCAAACCUUCCAGUUCUCUGGGUGUUACUAAUACUCAAGCAUGCACAUACCAGCUUGCUAGGACAGAAACUGUAAAAAGAAAGUAAGUUUCUUCGUUACGAAAAACUUCCUGAUUUUCCUUUUCAUGCUUUACGGAGGGGAUUGUGUCGUGUGAGAUUUCCCACAGUACCGGUUUCAAAUUUUUUUUUUAUUCUUAUGCUAAAUCAUAGGAGAAAAAUCUAGAUAGCCUUUCUUUAACUGUCUAUUUCUACCUGCAAAAUGAAGAAAACCUUUCAUCUGUUGAAAUUUUGGUCGAUAACCCAGCUGAAGAUCUUAUGCACAGGACACACUUGGCAUAUGCUUUACGCAGUUGCUCCGGACAGCUUGCUCGUGCCACUGAGCUUUUCCUGAGGUUUGUGUUCACCUCUCAAGGAGAGCUUUGGUCCUCAGUGGUACGGAUGACUUGAUGGGCUCCAUGCGGAGCCUGGCCUGCAUCCCCCACCACACAGCUCACUCAUGCACCAGCUCUAGACUGCAGACGCACAAGGCCUCUGCUCAGAAGCCAGAACACAGCACCUGUGACUCUGUUACUUGAAUUUUGUGCUUUUUGAUUGGAGUCCUUUGUUGAGUACUUUGUUAAUUGAACACUGCCUUUCUCUGGAGAAGGCCCCAGUGCUUUCUAGCUCCCUCUCACUCCUGCCCUUUCUAGCUCUCUCUCACCCAGCGGGUCAGGGAUAGCACCUCUUGUCUCCACUAUGCAGAUGGGAACUCUGAGCCACACAGAGGUGAAGUAGCACUUCAGUUACUCAAGUUUUGUCUACCAUUCCGGUUCCAUCUGCAUUCCCGGAGGAGUCCUGUUGAGGGAAGAGUGACUGUGAGCAAAACAUGAAGAGCUGUGUCACCAAGUUCCAUAAAAUCUGGGAGCCCGAGCAGCAUAUUUGUGGGAUUUGUCUGACAGAAUGCAAUGGAAACAGAGCGUGGCAUUCGCUCGUGGCCAUCUCCCCCAGAUUGUUCCAGAACAGUGCAAGUAGAGCCACCUCGUUCUUUUUUACUGCUGCAUAGAUUUCCAUUUCAGAUGUUCCAUAAGUUUCUGCUUCCAUCAGCAAUGUAAGGAAGUGCCCAAUUCCUCCUACCCCCACAUUACUGAGAAUCUUAUCAAAUUUUUUGAUCUUUUCUGAUUGGGUGAGUACUUAAUGUAUGUUUGAAAAAUAUGCAUAAGGUUGACAUAUAUUUAAAAGUUAUUUAUAUGUCCUUUGUUCAUAGGCUUUGCUCAUUCUUGCUGUUUUUUUUCUUACUGGUUUUUCUUUCUUUUUGAGACGGAGUCUCACUCUGUUGCCCAGGCUGGAGUGCAGUGGCGCGAUCUCGGCUCACUGCAAGUUCUGCCUCCCGGAUUCAUGCCAUUCUCCUGCCUCAGCCUCCCGAGUAGCUGGGACUACAGGUGCUUGCCACCACGCCUGGCUAAUUUUUGUAUUUUUUUUUAGUAGAGAUGGGGGUUUCACCAUGUUAGCCAGGAUGGUCUUGAUCUCCUGACCUCGUGAUCAGCCUGCCUCGGCCUCCCAAAGUGCUGGGAUUAGAGGCAUGAGCCACCACACCCAGCCUUUUUCUUACUGAUUUGUGAGUUUUUUAUGCGUUAAGAAAAACAUCCUUGUCUGUAAUCUGUGUCACAAUAUUUUUCUCAUUUUGUCAGUUAUCUUUUGACUUUGUUCAUGCUGAUUUAUUGACAUGUAUAUAGAUUUAAGGUCAUUUUUAUUUGGUCAUAUCUAUUAAUCUUUUCUAUUAUAGCUUCUGGGUUUUGUGUGAUGUUUGGAAAGGCUCUCUCUACUUCUUUGUGGUUGUUUUAAAGUUCUUUAAUUUUUUCCUUCUACUAGUUUUAUGGUUUCAUUUUUUAUGUUUAAAUCUGACUCAUUUGGAAUUUACUUUUGUGUAAGUUGGGAACUAAGGUUCCAUCUUAACAUUUAUUUUUUCCAAAUAGUUACCUAGUGGUGCUGGCACCAUUUAUUAAUCUUUCCCCUAUUGAUUAAAAAUGCCACCUUUAUAAUCACAUACUAAAUUCCUGUAUGUUUUAGGGUGAAUAUCUGGACUUUUGGAGUACAACUGAACCACUACCCUCAUUGAGGUGGGGGCAGAGAGGCCAGAGCUCUGUGCACUGGUUUCCUCUCUGGUUGCCAGCAUUACCCCUGAAGUUGCUUUGGGGGAGAUCUUGGGGUUCUGGGGAACAGAGUUUGGAAACUACCAGUCUGGACCACUCUCUUUUUUCACUGAUGAAAAUCUGUAGCUCGGUGUAAUUAAGUGACUUAAAAUAACAUUCUGACAUUAGCAAGUUGCCGUAUGUUCCCAAUCCCCUAACCCCCCGCCAUGUGCAUGGAGUAUAUCAUUGGUGUAGGAGGCUCACUGUUACGAGAAUCACAGGAAGUUGGCCAGGGAGCCCACAGCUGCUGUUAGGGACUGCUAUAGUGUCAGAAGGCCUCAUCCAUGUAUUUGGGGGAAAGAAUGUUCCAGAAAGAGGAAACAGCAAGUACAAAGUUUCUGAGCUACAUAUGUAGAGAGAUAUAGGUAUAGGUAUAGAAAUAGUAUAGAUAAUUUAGAAAGACAGAGAUAGAGACAGACCUAGAGAUUAGAAUGUGCUUCAGCUAAGAAUAGGACCAUUUUUACUUAGCAUGCUGUUCAUAGUAAUAAGUUGCUGUUAUAAUUUUCACAGCCAAAAGUCCAUACAUGAUGUUAUUUGUAUUGCUUAUGUUGUUUUAUAUAUUGUUUUUAUUUAUGCUUAUAUUUUCACAGCCCUCCUAAAUUGAGUGGAAUGAUUGCAAAGUGUUUCCAAUAAAUGAGGAUACUCCACCCCUUACCCUCCAAAAGUCUUCUCUUCAAUUUGGGUUUGGUGCCAGCAAUUUAGUCUUGACUGAUACAAUAACAUUUCAAAUUUCUAGAAAUAGUUGGGGGAGGGGAAGACUAGCCUGUGUUGUAGAGCUUUGAAGAGAUAAAAACAGCUUUGCACCUGAUGCCUCUCCCUGAGAAAGUAGUCAGCCCCAGAGAGUCCCAGUUCCACCUUCUUUUGAAAUUAUCUUAAAGGUAACCAAUGGAUCCCCUCCAGGAGGGACUGUCCAUCCCCACCAGGUGCAGAGAAUGAACCACUGCUUAAGUUUGCCUGGUAAAUGGUUUGGAAUGUCACUGCUAGACAUGGUGGCUGUGAUGUCACUACUGUGUGUAUCUUGAAAGGUCAGUAAAGAAUGAGUAAAACAUUUGAAGAGGUUCUUAUUCAACAACAAUAUUUGUUUAAAGGCUUGCCAAAAACACAAAACAAAGCCUUAAACCCCAAACCUUUAAUAGUAUAAAGAUAACGAGGCUUAAGUCAUAAACAUUGGAUUUCCAGAAUUUAAAAAGGUAAUUUUUGAACAGGAAUUACAUCAAGAAAAGAUUUUUUUGAAUUGACUGUCUUCUAAAACAAAUUAAAAAAAACAAAAACAAGAAAAGCAAUAACAAAAAACAGUUGCUAAUGUUCAAUCCAGAGAAAUGGAUGGAUUCCAGUAUUUUAUUCACAAACAAGCUUCAUCCAAAUGGCAGAACAACAGGGGUCUGGCCUUCUGCAUGCUCAGGCCUGAGUUUCUGAACCGGAGGGUAUAUGGUGAGGUUGGGAUUAAGGGUUUUCCUGCCUCAUUUAAUCAGGGCCUAGUCACAGUUGCACCAGCAGUUGUUUUCACAUCCAAUUCUGUUGGCCUUAUAGUCUGGGAAAAUUCUCCCAACUCCAACAAUGAACUGACUUGGAACUUGAGACUCUGCGGUGCUGAUAUUGACAUCAGAAAAUCUGGACACUGCUCCAGGGUUCUUUCAUAAAGUCCAAGAGGUCAUACUAUGUUCAUAGCAACAUCAGGGUGUGAUUUGCCUUUUUCACUCCCAUUUUCUCACAAGUAUACAAGGAGGUUUUCAGAGGCUGCAUAAUGUGUGAUAUCACAACAGCCUGAAUGCAGGAGCAGAUAGGAGAACCCAGCUGUCUUCUAUUAAACCACAUAUGAAAGAGAUUUGCAAAAAUGUAAAGCAAUACUGCUCUUUCACCAAAUAUUUUUGUUUUGGAAAAUGUGGUUAUUUUUCAUAGAAUCUUAUUUAUGAUAAUGGAUUUAUUGUAUAUUUAAAAGAAUUAAAAUAUUUUGACUUUACUUAUAAUACACUAAAUAAAAGAUAUCAUGUAUAAGCUCUUUAGGGUUCUCAUAAUUUUUAAGAGCUUAUGUUAAGUUUAAAGUUUGUCUAAAGAGGUUCAGAGACCAUAAAUUUUGAGAAUUAUGAGUCUAUGGGAUAGUGAAGGAAGAUAAACACAAAAUAACAAUUAAUAUUUAUUGAGUGCUUCCUGUUUGACAGGCACUGUGCUAAGAGCCUUACAUGGAUUGCCUCCUUUAAUUCUCAUAACCACCCCUCAGAAUCUCUUCUUCACCUCACUUGGGAUUCCACACUAGGAACUGGGCUACUCUCCUGUCUAGCCACUAGUCUAACCUUACUAAGUUUCUAACACUUCAUAUCAGACCUCUCCCCUGUUCAUCCCCCACCACAGUGAUGUCUUCCUCAUCCUAUUCAGGUAUUGACACCCAUACUAGGAUACUCCAUGUAUAGAUAUUCUCCUUGCUCUCUGUGAUUUAUGUCUCCACUUGGCUGAGCCAGGGUACCCAGAUUUUUGGUCAAACAUCAUUCUAGAUGUUUCUGUGAAUGUAUAUUUAGAAGAUAUUAACAUUUAAAUGAAUAGACUUUGAGUAAAACAUAUUACCUUUCCUACUAAAAGUCUUAAUAGGAAAAGAUUAACCUUUCCCAAAGAAAUCCUGCCAGCCCACUACCUCUGGACUUGAAUUACAGCAUCAGUUCUUUUCUGGGUCUCUAGUUUGCAGGACUACUUUCUCUCUCUCUGUAUAUGUGUGUGUGUGUGUGUGUCUGUGUGUGUACAGCUGACCCUUGCACAACACAGGUUUCAACUUCACAGGUCCACUUAUACGUGGAUUUCUUCAAUAAAAGUAACACCAAGUGUGCCUGCUUCUCCUAAGCCCUCCUCCACCUCCUUCACUUCUUCUACCUCUGCCACUCCUGAGACAGCAAGACAGCCUACUCAAUGUGAAGAAACAGGAAUAAAGAUCUUUAUGAUGAUCCACUUCCACUUAAUAAAUAGUAAAUAUAUUUUCUCUUCCUU